RNAcentral lists this ribosomal RNA (253 nucleotides) under uncultured bacterium. Its description in RNAcentral is "partial 16S ribosomal RNA". It matches the Rfam family "Bacterial small subunit ribosomal RNA", at positions 524 to 776 of the family's 1533-position model. The record is from RNAcentral.
UACGGGGGGGGCAAGCGUUGUUCGGAAUUACUGGGCGUAAAGGGCUCGUAGGCGGCCAACUAAGUCGGACGUGAAAUCCCCAGGCUCAACCUGGGAACUGCAUUCGAUACUGCGGUGCUUGAGGACUGGAGAGGAGACUGGAAUUCAUGGUGUAGCAGUGAAAUGCGUAGAGAUCAUGAGGAAGACCAGUGGCGAAGGCGGGUCUCUGGACAGUUCCUGACACUGAGGCACGAAGGCCAGGGGAGCAAACGGG